Molecule: ribosomal RNA, 497 nt
Filed under: uncultured bacterium
Lineage: Bacteria
Description: partial 16S ribosomal RNA
Rfam family: Bacterial small subunit ribosomal RNA
Source: RNAcentral
GAUGAACGCUGGCGGCGUGCCUAAUACAUGCAAGUCGAGCGAACAGACGAGGAGCUUGCUCCUCUGACGUUAUCGGCGGACGGGUGAGUAACACGUGGAUAACCUACCUAUAAGACUGGGAUAACUUCGGGAAACCGGAGCUAAUACCGGAUAAUAUAUUGAACUGCAUGGUUCAAUAGUGAAAGACGGUUUUGCUGUCACUUAUAGAUGGAUCCGCGCCGCAUUAGUUAGUUGGUAAGGUAACGGCUUACCAAGGCAACGAUGCGUAGCCGACCUGAGAGGGUGAUCGGCCAGACUGGAACUGAGACACGGCCCAGACUCCGACGGGAGGCAGCAGUAGGGAAUCUUCCGCAAUGGGCGAAAGCCUGACGGAGCAACGCCGCGUGAGUGAUGAAGGUCUUCGGAUGGUAAAACUCUGUUAUUAGGGAAGAACAAAUGUGUAAGUAACUAUGCACGUCUUGACGGUACCUAAUCAGAAAGCCACGGCUAACUACGUG